Molecule: ribosomal RNA, 492 nt
Filed under: uncultured bacterium
Lineage: Bacteria
Description: partial 16S ribosomal RNA
Rfam family: Bacterial small subunit ribosomal RNA
Source: RNAcentral
AGUGAACGCUGGCGGUAGGCCUAACACAUGCAAGUCGAACGGCAGCACAGUAAGAGCUUGCUCUUACGGGUGGCGAGUGGCGGACGGGUGAGGAAUACAUCGGAAUCUACUUUUUCGUGGGGGAUAACGUAGGGAAACUUACGCUAAUACCGCAUACGACCUACGUGUGAAAGCAGUGGAUCUUCGGACCUUGCGCGAUUGAAUGAGCCGAUGUCGGAUUAGCUAGUUGGCGGGGUAAAGGCCCACCAAGGCGACGAUCCGUAGCUGGUCUGAGAGGAUGAUCAGCCACACUGGAACUGAGACAUGGUCCAGACUCCUACGGGAGGCAGCAGUGGGGAAUAUUGGACAAUGGGCGCAAGCCUGAUCCAGCCAUACCGCGUGGGUGAAGAAGGCCUUCGGGUUGUAAAGCCCUUUUGUUGGGAAAGAAAAGCAGCAGGUUAAUACCCCGCUGUUCUGACGGUACCCAAAGAAUAAGCACCGGCUAACUUCGUG